CAGCAGUGAGGAAUAUUGGUCAAUGGACGCAAGUCUGAACCAGCCAAGUAGCGUGCAGGAUGACGGCCCUCCGGGUUGUAAACUGCUUUUAGUUGGGAAUAAAAGGGGGCUCGUGAGCCCCGUAUUGUAUGUACCAUCAGAAAAAGGACCGGCUAAUUCCGUGCCAGCAGCCGCGGUAAUACGGAAGGUCCGGGCGUUAUCCGGAUUUAUUGGGUUUAAAGGGAGCGUAGGCCGGCUUUUAAGUCAGCUGUGAAAGUCCGCGGCUCAACCGUGGAAUUGCAGUUGAAACUGGAGGCCUUGAGUGCACACAGGGAUGCCGGAAUUCAUGGUGUAGCGGUGAAAUGCUUAGAUAUCAUGAAGAACUCCGAUCGCGAAGGCAAGUGUCCGGGGUGCAACUGACGCUGAGGCUCGAAAGUGCGGGUAUCAAACAGGAUUAGA
RNAcentral lists this ribosomal RNA (438 nucleotides) under uncultured Alloprevotella sp. RNAcentral describes it as "bacterial SSU rRNA". It matches the Rfam family "Bacterial small subunit ribosomal RNA", at positions 349 to 782 of the family's 1533-position model. The record is from RNAcentral. Lineage: Bacteria; Pseudomonadati; Bacteroidota; Bacteroidia; Bacteroidales; Prevotellaceae.